AGUGAUUUAGGUUAAAAGGAUAAACCUAAAACCUUCAAAGUUUUAAAUAAGAAUGGAAGUUUCUUAAUCUCUG
Molecule: transfer RNA, 73 nt
Filed under: Echinaster brasiliensis
Lineage: Eukaryota; Metazoa; Echinodermata; Asteroidea; Spinulosida; Echinasteridae
Description: tRNA-Trp
Source: RNAcentral